This 496-nucleotide ribosomal RNA is filed under the name uncultured bacterium. RNAcentral describes it as "partial 16S ribosomal RNA". It matches the Rfam family "Bacterial small subunit ribosomal RNA", at positions 28 to 506 of the family's 1533-position model. The record is from RNAcentral.
GAUGAACGCUGGCGGCGUGCCUAAUACAUGCAAGUCGAGCGAACGGACGAGAAGCGUUCUUCGCUGAUGUUAGCGGCGGACGGGUGAGUAACACGUGGAUAACCUACCUAUAAGACUGGGAUAACUUCGGGAAACCGGAGCUAACACCGGAUAAUAUUUUGAACCGCAUGGUUCAAAAGUGAAAGACGGCCUUGCUGUCACUUAUAGAUGGAUCCGCGCUGCAUUAGCUAGUUGGUAAGGUAACGGCUUACCAAGGCAACGAUGCAUAGCCGACCUGAGAGGGUGAUCGGCCACACUGGAACUGAGACACGGUCCAGACUCCUACGGGAGGCAGCAGUAGGGAAUCUUGCGCAAUGGGCGAAAGCCUGACGGAGCAACGCCGCGUGAGUGAUGAAGGUCUUCGGAUCGUAAAACUCUGUUAUUAGGGAAGAACAUAUGUGUAAGUAACUGUGCAUAUCUUGACGGUACCUAAUCAGAAAGCCACGGCUAACUACGU